GGUUCAUUGAUUUUGUUUGAAGGAAUCUGAAUUGGCGGGAGCCAACCGUCAAUUAUGUGGUUUUAGGAGGUGGGUUUUGAUUGGAUUUGGAUUUGGGAUUGGAAAACGUUUGAAUUGUUGGGAGUUUUGAUGGCUAACCCAUCUGGGAACCAUCAAGAAGCUGGCCAACCAUCGUCUUCCUUCGAUGGAGGGAACCCCAGCAACGGUAAUUCGACCCCUGUGCCUGCAGCGGAUAAUUCGAGCUCGG
This 247-nucleotide unclassified non-coding RNA is filed under the name Hevea brasiliensis (rubber tree). The record is from RNAcentral. Lineage: Eukaryota; Viridiplantae; Streptophyta; Magnoliopsida; Malpighiales; Euphorbiaceae.